CCUACGGGAGGCAGCAGUGAGGAAUAUUGGUCAAUGGGCGCGAGCCUGAACCAGCCAAGUAGCGUGAAGGAUGACUGCCCUACGGGUUGUAAACUUCUUUUAUAAGGGAAUAAAGUACGGAACGUGUCCCUGUUUGUAUGUAUUUUAUGAUAAAGGAUUGGCUGACUCCGUGCCAGCAGCCGCGGUAAUCCGGAGGAUCCUAGCGUUAUCCGGAUUUAUUGGGUUUAAAGGGAGCGUAGAUGGGUUGUUAAGUCAGUUGUGAAAGUUUGCGGCUCAACCGUAAAAUUGCAAUUGAUACUGGCAGCCUUGAGUACAGUUGAGGUAGGCGGAAUUCGUGGUGUAGCGGUGAAAUGCUUAGAUAUCACGAAGAACUCCGAUUGCGAAGGCAGCUUACUAAACUGCCACUGACAUUGAUGCUCGAAAGUGUGGGUAUCAAACAGGAUUAGAUACCCUAGUAGUC
This 460-nucleotide ribosomal RNA is filed under the name uncultured bacterium. Its description in RNAcentral is "partial 16S ribosomal RNA". It matches the Rfam family "Bacterial small subunit ribosomal RNA", at positions 338 to 795 of the family's 1533-position model. The record is from RNAcentral.